GCAGGGAUAAAUGUUCUGUGUGGCGUAGGAAUCCUGUCGACGCCUUAUGCCAUCAAGCAAGGGGGCUGGCUGGGACUGGUGAUACUAGUUGUGUUUGCUCUGCUCGCAUGGUACACCGGUGUGCUGCUGCGCCGUUGCCUAGACAGCAAGGAGGGCCUUCAGACAUACCCGGAUAUCGGCCAUGCCGCCUUUGGCACCACCGGUCGCAUAGCCAUCUCGCUAAUCCUGUACGUCGAACUGUAUGCGUGCUGCAUUGAGUAUUUGAUACUGGAAAGCGACAACCUUUCAAAGUUGUUCCCGAAUGUGCACCUGAACAUUGGGGGCUUGACAAUAAACUCGCACGUGUUCUUCGCAAUCUUGCCGACGCUUGUUGCCAUGCCGACAACUUGGCUCCGUGACCUUACAUGUCUGAGCUAUAUUUCAGCUGGUGGUGUGGUUGCAUCAAUCCUUGUGGUCAUGUGCCUAUGCUGGAUUGGGGUUGUCGAUCAUGUCGGCUUCGAGAACAAAGGGACCGCGUUAAACCUCCAGGGAAUUCCUAUCGCGAUUGGACUCUACGGUUACUGCUACUCGGGCCAUGGGGUGUUCCCAAACAUAUACUCGUCUCUGAAGAACCGCAACCAGUUUCCAUCCAUUCUUUCCACCUGUCUAAUUUUUCAAGUAACAAAAUUUCAUGCAUACUACACCACGUAU
Molecule: ribosomal RNA, 690 nt
Filed under: Triticum aestivum (bread wheat)
Lineage: Eukaryota; Viridiplantae; Streptophyta; Magnoliopsida; Poales; Poaceae
Description: partial small subunit ribosomal RNA
Source: RNAcentral